Molecule: transfer RNA, 65 nt
Filed under: Neocaridina denticulata (Japanese swamp shrimp)
Lineage: Eukaryota; Metazoa; Arthropoda; Malacostraca; Decapoda; Atyidae
Also listed under: 2 other names
Description: tRNA-Ile
Source: RNAcentral
AAUAGUGUGCUUGAAUAAAAGGCCGUCUUGAUAGGGCGGAUAAUGCGAAAUCUUCGUCACUAUUA